AUGGCUAACUUUCAAAUGUUUAAAAAGUGCUAUCCUAUAUCCCCUCAGACUUUUAGUUCAAGAAGAGCUUCAUUCAUUUGUUUGUUCGUCCAUUUGUUCAUUUGUUCGUUCGUUCGUUCAUUUGUUCGUUCGUUCGUUCGUUCAUUCAUUCGUUUGUUUGUUUGUUUGUUUGUUUGUUCCUUCCUUCCUUCCUUCCUUCAUUCCUUCCUUCUGUUUGUUCUUGAUAAUGUAGGCACAUACUUAAAGAACAGGCAUUCAAAGACCUCACAGAUCCUACAAAAUGGGAGGUGGGAUGCUACAAUUUCAGGUCCAAUUUAUUCAUUCACCACACGGAGGAUCAUAAGCCAUGGAGAGGAGGUAGAGGGAAAUGGACACAACUUUGCUCUUCAAGUCCUUGUUCCCACUGGCAACAUCCUCCAGGGCUUGACAUAUUCAGGGAAUACAGAAAAACUUCCUCAAAUGGAUGGCUCUUUUGGCUGCUACUUGAAGACAUCCAACAAAGGAGAACAAUCUGAAUCAGGGAGAUUUUUCAAGGCAUGGAUGGAAGAGGCGCGAGCCAUUUGAAAGUAACUUGAAGCAGAUUUUAAUAGAAGCAGAUAACUGUUGAAAACAGGUCUGUCAACUAUUAGCUAUAAUAGUUAACAAAAAAGAGAAACCCUCCAUUUUAAAGAUGAACGGGAGCCUCGUGACACAGUGGUUAUAAUGCAGUCCUGCAGUCAACACUCUGCUCGUGAUGGGCUCAGGAAGUCAUCUCAAGGUUGACUCAGCCUUCCAUCUUUCUGAGAUUGGUAAAUUGAAUACCCAUCUUGCCGAUGGGCAAUGUGUAGCCUGAAUAAUUAAACUGUAAACCACCCAGAGAGUUCUUUAAGUGCCAUGGGGUGGUAUAUAAACAGCAUACCUUGCUUUUGGUUUUGCUUUAGUAUAUCUGAUUACCGGGUGGUAGGAGGUGCAAGCACAUCAGACUGGUCAUUGGCAAGGAAUCUUGGAAGUUUCCUUACAUGGAUUGAAACCACCUGCCCUCCUCCCUGCCUAACCUCCCCUGGGUUCAGCCUCUGAGUGGGCACCCACUGGAGGAGGCGGGACAUGGAAGCGCCAAUCACCUUUUCAUCCAAAAGACGAACCAGCACGAACCACCAAAAUGCCAGUUCGUGCCCAUCUCUAAUAGCCAUCUAUUGAUGGGCACCCCAAGACCCCCCAGAGCUGCAGCUCUUUUAUGGGGCAGGAAAUCAGGAGUGCGUCCUGCUCCUUCCUUGUGCAUCUCAGAGCAGCUGUCUGUGAGCUCCUCCUGAAGGAAGAGGAAAGAAGCGUGAUGAUGAUUCGUGUUUUGUUUUCCUUGUUAUAAACCUUUACGAGUGAUUGACUUUACAAAUGACUUGUUCUUGUCUUGUUAAUACAGUGGUGCCUCGCUAGACGGUUACCCCACAUGACAGGUUUUUUUUGCUAGACAUUGGCUUUUUGUGAUCACUAUAGCGAUUCGCAAAACAGGGAUUCCUAUGGGGGAAUUUUGCUGGACCAUAUUUGGUCCCUGCUUGGCAAACCAAUUUUCGCUAGACGACGAUUUUGACAGCUCCCUCCGUGCUCGCAAAAUGGGUGUUUUCAGGACCUAAGCUUUGCAAGACAGCAAUUUAAACAGCUGAUCAGCAGUUCACAAAGCAUCUUUCCUAUGGCUGAUCUUCGCUAGACAAUGACGACUCUUCCCCAUUGGAAUGCAUUAAACAGGUUUCAAUGCAUUCCAAUAGGGAAAUGCUUUUCGCUAGAUGAUGAUUUCGCUAAGCAGCGAUUUCAGUGGAAUGGAUUAUCAUCGUCUAGUGAGGCACCACUGUAUGGACUAAUCAGCUCGCUGCACUCUCUUUAAGGUGUGUGUGUGUGUUUGUGUGUGUGUGUGUGGGAGGGUGUCAAUGAGGACAGUGAUGAUGAGCACCUGCUGUUCCCAAUUUACCAUAACUGCCUCACUGAGGUAAAUGUGGCCUACUACGGCCCCCAAAUUCCCCCCCCCCGCAAAUACCCCUCUUGUGGGUUGAAAGCAGAACUAACAGAGGUUUGUCUUUGCACUUUUGAAUAGGAAUGAGAAAAAAAAAUCAAGCUGGGAAAAUCAAGAGAACAUCUACAUCUACAUCCAUUCUCUGAUUCUGUUCAAGAAUCCCAGGAAACAGAAGGCGCUCACACAUCCACCGAAGAUGGGCUGGAGGUGAAAUGCUCGAUUACCUACUGCUUACCUCUGGUCUGGAAGGAGAUUUGCUUAUUUUCACAAAACUAUUCUUUCCCUAUAUAUUCGUUGCAUCCCUAUUAAUAAGUGUCUGCUGCUCUAUGUGUGUGUUUUUUAAAAAUUGGAGCCGGUUUUCUUUUCUUUUUUUCCCCCCUCUACAAAUUGAGAAAGAUCAUCUUCAAAAGGACUUUGAUCAUUGUUUUCUAAAAAUAAAAUGAGAAAGUUUUUCUUGGAGGGAAAGAGA
Long non-coding RNA from Pogona vitticeps (central bearded dragon), 2450 nucleotides. Lineage: Eukaryota; Metazoa; Chordata; Lepidosauria; Squamata; Agamidae. The record is from Ensembl.